Molecule: long non-coding RNA, 2628 nt
Organism: Acinonyx jubatus (cheetah)
Lineage: Eukaryota; Metazoa; Chordata; Mammalia; Carnivora; Felidae
Exons: 3
Source: RefSeq, a predicted model, not a curated record
AAAAGAGAUGGUCCCUGAUAGGUGCCCAUAGAGGGUGAAGGACUGAAAUGGAGAAAGACCCAGGCAUGGCCUGGAGCCAAAGGAAUGGGAAGGCGGACACUCUUGUGGGAAGGACACUGGAUCAGGAGUCAAGACACCAGGGCUGCAGCCCUGGCUUGGCCGCCAACGGGAUGUGUGAGUUUGGCGGGCCAUUCAGUUUCCCACAGUCACCACCCAGCUUGUCUCCUAACAUGGGAUCUUUGUUGGAGACCAUGACUCUCAAAUCCUGGACAGACCCUGUGUGUCUUUGCUCUGCCUCCCCCCCCCCCACCCCCCAGGGCCAGCCUUCUGGAUGCUCAGCAGGUGCAUGGGAUGGGGGAGGAACUGGGAGGGGCAGUGAUGGGGAAGUGAGGGGAUCCCAGGGGACCUGGUGUCCUGAACCCCCUUUCCCACGCCUCCAGCCUCAGGGCCUGGGAAGAGGGUGAGGUGGCAACAGGAGGAGGAGGUGUCACUGCCAGGGUUCUCACCCAAGCUGGCAGAGGGGCGGGACUGGCGGUGGUGACGCCAGGGCCACUCGGCCCCCGCUUUUCACAAGCACUUUCUUUUUUGGAAGAAAUUGGAGUGAGGGGGUGAGGAAUCUGGGGUUGAUGACCCCCUAACAGCCCAUCGAGUUACAGAGAGACUGCCUCCAAUCACCUUCUUCCUCCAGGGACUGUCCCCAGGUCCACCUGACUCUGAGAUUCAUAAUCCCUUCUGCCCUGGAAACCGGGGCGGGAGCUCAGGUCAUCCUGUUCAGAGGCAGGGGGAUGGAUCUCUUGACCUGUGGAUUGGCGUGGAAGAGAGGAGGGAGAGAGAGAAGGAGGAACAAAACUCCAUUUGGCCUUCCACAGUCAGGCAAUGCUGCCUCACUCGGAACAGCAGGCAGAAACUUCCCGCCUCCCUGAAGCAUGGGGAAAUGGUGGGUAAAGGGGUGGGAGGGGCCAGUCCCCAGUUCUGGUGCUGUCUUGUAUCGGGUCUCCAUUUUCAGGGGAUGUGCUGAUUCUCCCUCCCUCCACCCUCCCUGGGUCAUGCCCGCCUCCUGGGGUCCGCAGCUUCUCCUUCACCUGCCAACCUGCCUCUCGGUUCAGCUCUAGUUGGGAGCAGAGAGUCCCCAUGGAGCCCUAAGGGUGGAGCCCUGUUGGGCUGGGACAGCGAUACAGAGAUGGGGCCAGCCCCCAGGGGACAAGUGAGGAGGGCUGGGAGGGUGCGGGGAGAGGAGAGGUUAACCUUUAACAUGAUGAAAAUAUGAAAGUAUUUUUCAAAACCCUCUUUAAAAUGUAAAUCUUUAUCUAUAUAUUGACAUGCAAAAAAUUCCAUGACACCUUAUUGAGUGAAAAAAAAAACACAUUACAAAGCAGCACGUGUGGUGUUUAUAUAAAAUGUGUGUGUGUGUGUGUGUGUGUGUGUGUGUGUGUGUUCGCGCAUAAGACAGAAAGGCUGUGUGCAGGGAGUGACGUCUGGAAAGGUGCUCACCAAAAUGCGAAUCCUGUUUGCCUCUGCGGGAUGGAGUUUGGGGUGGUUUAUUGUAACAGUCCCAUUUUUACUGCUUACAUUUUCUAGGAGUGUGCUUUAUCCGUAUGUGCAAGAAAACUCCCAAUGAUGCUGUUUUCAACUGGGGGGAAAGGAUUGUUUUCAUCCUAAGACGACUCUGUUAGUCAACAGAAAAACAAACUAGAGAAAGAAAAGCCCUAGUAGUGGUCCUAUCUCACAGGCAGUCCUGCGGAACAAGUUGUGGGGUGGGGGGCGUCCUGCCCCGUCAGCGGGCUCUGAACCUGUUCCCAGCAGCCUUCCGAGCAGAGGGAAGAAUAGACUGGAAAGUGCUGCACAGGUCCACCCUCUAGGGUAAGGCUCACAGCCCCUCUGAAAAGGAAAUCAGCUUAUUUCCCCCAUUCUACGGUUGGGAGGCUGCCUUUCAGGCAAGGGAAGUGACUUGCCCAGGUCACACAUACCUGAGUGACAGGCAGAGCCAGGGACGAGACUCUGAGCACGGGCAGCCCAGGGCUGCUUCCAGUGCCCUGGCCGCCCCCGCCGGCCCUGCAAACCUGAAGCUGCAGCAGCGGGUGCAAUCCCUUUCAAGGAGCUCUUCCCGCUGCCCCCAGCUUCCAGCUCCGCCUUGGGGCUGUUGGAACGAGAUGCAUGGGACACAGCCCAGCUGGGUCUCUGCCCCCCCCCCCCCCCCGAGGAAGAGCGCAAACACUUCAGGCACAGCCACCUAGCACAGAGCCUGGGCACACAGUGGGCAUCAGUGAUCUGCUGAAUGUUCGCGGUCUAAGCAUUUCGGACUGGGUGCAGACCCCGCUGCUGCGCCGAGCGGCGAGUGCGGCCGCAAGGCCCUGUGAGUCUCAUCUGGGCCAUCACCGAAGGCUUCCUGUAGGAGGGGACCUUUGAACUGAGCCUGGAAGGAUGGGUGGAAUUUCCACGAGGCUCCAGAGGAGAGAAACAGGCUGGCGUUUCGGGUGGACGGGUGGACUUUUCCAGAAGGCAGUCUUUAAGCGCGAACUUGGCGGCGCGCGGGGACCCGCCACGCCGUGAGGGCCUCUGGUCCUCGGCGGCUGCUUCGAAUUUGCCGAGUAUUAGCCACGAGGGGGCGGGGUGAGGCGGGGCGGGGCC